UAUAUUUUAGUGUAAGAGCACAAUAAUUUUUGAAGUUAUUAGAUUUUAUUAAAAUUAAAAAAAUAUAA
RNAcentral lists this transfer RNA (68 nucleotides) under Setodes brevicaudatus. RNAcentral describes it as "tRNA-Gln". Lineage: Eukaryota; Metazoa; Arthropoda; Insecta; Trichoptera; Leptoceridae. The record is from RNAcentral.